GAGAUUUAUCCUGGCUCAGGAUGAACGCUAGCGGCAGGCUUAACACAUGCAAGUCGAGGGGUAGAGGUGCUUGCAACCUUGAGACCGGCGCACGGGUGCGUAACGCGUAUGCAACCUACCUUUUACAGAGGGAUAGCCCAGAGAAAUUUGGAUUAAUACCUCAUAGUAUAUAGUCUUCGCAUGUUGACUAUAUUAAAGUUCCAACGGUAAAAGAUGGGCAUGCGUCCUAUUAGCUAGAUGGUAAGGUAACGGCUUACCAUGGCAACGAUAGGUAGGGGUCCUGAGAGGGAGAUCCCCCACACUGGUACUGAGACACGGACCAGACUCCUACGGGAGGCAGCAGUGAGGAAUAUUGGACAAUGGGCGCAAGCCUGAUCCAGCCAUGCCGCGUGCAGGAAGAAGCAUCUAUGGUGUGUAAACUGCUUUUGUACAGGAAGAAACACCCCGACGUGUCGGGACUUGACGGUCUGUAAGAAUAAGGAUCGCU
RNAcentral lists this ribosomal RNA (487 nucleotides) under Bacteroidetes bacterium '8.3 MW-7'. Its description in RNAcentral is "bacterial SSU rRNA". It matches the Rfam family "Bacterial small subunit ribosomal RNA", at positions 9 to 497 of the family's 1533-position model. Lineage: Bacteria; Pseudomonadati; Bacteroidota. The record is from RNAcentral.